AGUGAACGCUGGCGGUAGGCCUAACACAUGCAAGUCGAACGGCAGCACAGUAAGAGCUUGCUCUUACGGGUGGCGAGUGGCGGACGGGUGAGGAAUACAUCGGAAUCUAGUUUUUCGUGGGGGAUAACGUAGGGAAACUUACGCUAAUACCGCAUACGACCUACGGGUGAAAGCAGGGGAUCUUCGGACCUUGCGCGAUUGAAUGAGCCGAUGUCGGAUUAGCUAGUUGGCGGGGUAAAGGCCCACCAAGGCGACGAUCCGUAGCUGGUCUGAGAGGAUGAUCAGCCACACUGGAACUGAGACACGGUCCAGACUCCUACGGGAGGCAGCAGUGGGGAAUAUUGGACAAUGGGCGCAAGCCUGAUCCAGCCAUACCGCGUGGGUGAAGAAGGCCUUCGGGUUGUAAAGCCCUUUUGUUGGGAAAGAAAAGCAGCAGGUUAAUACCCCGCUGUUCUGACGGUACCCAAAGAAUAAGCACCGGCUAACUUCGUG
RNAcentral lists this ribosomal RNA (492 nucleotides) under uncultured bacterium. Its description in RNAcentral is "partial 16S ribosomal RNA". It matches the Rfam family "Bacterial small subunit ribosomal RNA", at positions 29 to 507 of the family's 1533-position model. The record is from RNAcentral.